CCAUUUUUGGGAGUAAUUGUAGGUAUGUGCUUAAUAUUCAUGUAAAUAAUGCCAAUGUGCACAAAGUCUUAAUGGUCUUAAAAAUAGGCUUCAUUUUCUUUAAGCAAAAUCAGAAUUCCCUAUUCUUUUUUUUCUUUUAAUUAUGCUAUAAUAUAAGAUAUUCUCUGGCCGUUUUCAGGAAUUGUGUUGAUUGAAUUGUCAACCCCAGAGACUGGGUGAGCUCUCACAUCUUUUCUUCGGCCCGUGGGCUGUGCUUCAUCCAUCCGUCCUGUUCUCCCCCCCACCGGGAGUCAGGAGCACGCCGUUGGCCGACAGCGGCGUUCAGCUGGAGUCACACUGACUCUACAGGAGGGAGCCUUUCCUUUGUCACACACACAGCAGAUGGGACACACACUAUAGCAUGUGUGUGUGAGGACACAAUCAACAUGAAGUGGUCAGGUUCUUCAUGAACAUCAGUCGGAUCGCUUGAGUUUCCUGUUGCGUCCCUGUUUAUAAUGUGUUAUAGUGUCCUUAAUAUUAUGCAUUAUUGUUAUUAUAAUUAUUAUUAUAACUAUUUCUUUUUCUCUCGAAGUUGCGUUUUUUACAAACAACGUAUAAAUGUACGUAUAAUAGGCUUCGUUUGUGAAAUGCAAGCAGAACGGGAAUCAUUCGUAACGUCACAAUGAUUCACCUGCUCUGUUUCACGAAUGAGGUUUGUAUGUUUUUAGUCGUAAAUCUGUUGCACAGGAUUUUCAUUUUGCACUGUUUUAAGGCAAUUGCUUUAAAAAAUUCAAAAAGAAAAAGAAGAUAAACAUGUAUGUAAAAAGUGCCGGGUUGUGGAGGUUUACGAAUGUUAGUCGAACAGUUUUCACUAGAGUGAUUCGUAGAAUCUGUUUUUUGGGGAGAAAAUAGUGGCCUUCGAAACCCCUGCGAGUUUAAUCUUUAGCUGAUAGAAAGGCCUGUGCAGCAAAGAUGAUUUUAUUUUUAUUGCCCUGCAAUGUUCAGCUUCCUAAAUAGGCAACGUGAGAUGUUGAAAAACAUAAAAAAUCGAGCAUGAAUCGAAAUGAAAUUAAACAACAAUGGCUAUCGAGUAUAUAGGCCGUUUUGCCGUGGUCGUUUUUUGCAAGUCGUUCUAUUUAAAACUAUUUACUUUUAACUAAAUUUGUUUGCCGAGGAUGGUGGUCGAAUCUUUUAACGGUAUAUCUAGCUAUUACGUGUCAAUUUCUCUGGCUUUGAUGACUGUGUGCAUUGAUAUUGAUUUAACACAAGCCAGUCAUCUAGUUAUAAAUAAGCUACAGUAGAUGUAAUCUUGUAAACGGCAUAUGAAUAUGAAUUUUAGACGAUGAGGGGAAACAUGUGAAGUGUUUUUGAACAUUUUUUGCAUAGUCUGUGGCCUCCAGCUUUAUUUAGGGGAGGAAACACGCACAGAACCUCGUGGUUUGCCAGCCGGUUUGGGGUUUGUGUAUUUUCUGUCUUGCAUCAAGAAUCCACAUGAAAAAAACAAACGCACACAUGAGGGUUGAAUCUGGUUCAUAUUUCACCCUAAAUUUUAAAGGAAAAAAUAUUUAAAUAUUUUGCAUGAUGAAAAUUGAGGUUUUCUUCAUGCAAAAUAUGAUUUUGCAAUUUUUUUUCUUUUGAUUUAGUGGUCAGAUUUCCCCUCAUAGAGUGAUUUUUAGGCACAUACAGUGCAUACAUAUUGAAUAGCUGAUGCUCUGUGAGUGUGUGUUUGUCUUUCAAACACUGUUUCAGUUGUUGUUUUUUUUUUUUUUUUUUGUAUUUUAGAGUCUCAUUUGAUUUGAUCUCAGUAUCGUCAGGGUUUGUUUUAGGCUCCGCCUCAUUCAAGCAGCAGGCAUCAUGUGACCUUUGACUUCUUGUGUUGCGACCCACCAGACUAUUGAAUGCAGAUCAGCUUCAUUUGCAUUUAAUUGAAAUGCAAAGCAGAUGUGGCGACCUUGUCAGCUGACCAAACUAUAGAUCUGGGCUCAUUCAAAGAUGUCAGCGAUUGUUUUGUUUUUUAUGCAACUGAAAAUAAACUGAGAAGGGGUGUAACAUGAAGUGUUUGUCCUUUUGUUUUUAAUGAUUAUAGCUCAGAGGGAUGUUUGCAGUCCAUUAUUUUUCUUUCGUGAAGAGUGAAGAACCGUCA
Molecule: long non-coding RNA, 2122 nt
Organism: Cyprinus carpio carpio
Lineage: Eukaryota; Metazoa; Chordata; Actinopteri; Cypriniformes; Cyprinidae
Source: Ensembl